GAAGCGACACUGAUUGGCCAGCAGGGCCAGCAGGCCCCCACCCCGCGUCCCCGCCAACCAGGCGGACACGGUGGCCGGCGGCCUCCGCGGGAACAUUCCGCCUCCCCGCGCCCGCCGCGAGGUCUCCGGCGCAGAAAGAACGAGCCCGGGAAGGCGCAGGCGGCCUCUGCGGAGUCCCCUUAACCGGCCUGCCCCGAACUCGUCUCACGGUCCUGAGGCCAGGAGCCGGCCCUCAUCCCUCUCUACAGCGACCGCUAAGGAAGAAUCCGCUCUGGGGAAAGAGUUGGUCAUGGCAGCAGCCGCGGGGAUGGCCCCGCGACCGCUGCACGAGGAGCUCCCGGGCUCGAGCCGCGAGCCAGCCGACCUGUCGGCCCCUUAGGUUUUUGGCGUUCUCCAGCCGGCGCCGGGGGCCGUGGUGCAGAGCGCGCGGGAAGCGGCGGCGCGGGCGGCUCCCGCCCUACAGCAGAAAAGAUGCCGCGCUCCGCGCCCGCCACACGCGAUGCCCGCCUGCAACCUACCCCCGUCUCCGUCGCCCGGGUUCUGAUUGGGGGCAGCGCCAACUCCUAGGUGCUCAUUGGCGCCCCAGGUGCUCGUCACCGCUUCCUCCCGCCUCUUUGCGCGGCAUGCCGGGACCGCCUGCUAACAAGGAGAUAUUUCUACAAAGAAAAAAUUAUGCUUUGCUGGAAGCAGAAAUUUAGGUUUCUCCCAUCCUAUCCCAGCUUUCCGAUUUUACUUUGGAGAUUGGUGUUGAUGUUUAUCUCCCUUGAAAGCAGGACUUCUUCCUGUCUUAUGGCCCUAAUGACCAACAAGAGCCCCAGACCCACCACCAGGCUGCAGACCCACAGAGGCAACAAUGUCUCAAACUUCUCCACGACUUUCCAGCUCCUUGUCCUCAACUCAGUGAGUCAGCUGGGCUCCACUUGUAUUUCCCCAGCCUGUACUGCAAAAUGGAAACUUUCUCCAGGCAAUUAACUGGAACAGUCUUAGGUUCGCUACCCCAAUCAUGCUAUAAAACAUUUCAUUACCAUCAUUCUGAAAAAUUCUCUGUGCCACUUUGCAGCCAAUCCUUUUCCCCGACGCCUGGCCUUUGGCAGCCGUUGAUUUGCUUUCUAUCAUGAUAGUUUUGCCUUUUCUGCAAUUUUGUAUGAGUGAAGUUAUACAGUAUGUAGUAUGUUGUAUCUGGCUUCUUUCCCUUAGUGUAAGGCUUUUGAGAUCCAUCUGUAUUGUGGGGGGUGGGGGUGGGUGGGCAGCUGGCCAGUACAGGGAUUGAACCCUGGACCUUGGUGUCAUUAGCACCAUGGUCUAACCAACUGAGCUAACCAGCCAGCCCGCAUCUAUAUUGUUGUGUGUGUCAGUAGUUUGUUCCUUUUUAUUGCUUACUAUUCCAUUAUAUGGAUAUAGUGAAAUUUGUUUAUCCUUUUGGUGGACAUUUAGAUUGUUUCUGGUUUGGGCUGCUGUGAAUAUUUGCAUGCAAGUCUUUGGAAUAAAUGCCUAGAAGAGGAAUUACUAGUUUGUAUGGUAUGUGUUUGUUUAACCUUUUAAGAAAUUGCUAAACUGUUUUCAAAGUAGUUGUACCAUUUUGUAUUCCCACCAGCAGUGUAUGAAAGUUCUGGUUGUUUUACAUCCUUAUCAAUAAUUGGUAUUAUUGGUCUUUUUAAAUUUAGCCAUUCUAAUAGUUAUAUAGUGGUAUCUCAUUGCAGUUUUAAUGUGACUUCGUUACUGACUAAUCAUGUUCAGCAUCUUUUCAUGUGCUUAUUGAUCAUUUAUAUAUCUUCUUUUGUGACUUGUCUUUUGAAAUAUU
Molecule: long non-coding RNA, 1801 nt
Organism: Cynocephalus volans (Philippine flying lemur)
Lineage: Eukaryota; Metazoa; Chordata; Mammalia; Dermoptera; Cynocephalidae
Exons: 3
Source: RefSeq, a predicted model, not a curated record